AACACGUGGGGAACCUGCCCCAUAGUCUGGGAUACCACUUGGAAACAGGUGCUAAUACCGGAUAAGAAAGCGGAUCGCAUGAUCAGCUUUUAAAAGGCGGCGUAAGCUGUCGCUAUGGGAUGGCCCCGCGGUGCAUUAGCUAGUUGGUAAGGUAAAGGCUUACCAAGGCGAUGAUGCAUAGCCGAGUUGAGAGACUGAUCGGCCACAUUGGGACUGAGACACGGCCCAAACUCCUACGGGAGGCAGCAGGA
Molecule: ribosomal RNA, 251 nt
Filed under: uncultured Lactobacillus sp.
Lineage: Bacteria; Bacillati; Bacillota; Bacilli; Lactobacillales; Lactobacillaceae
Description: partial 16S ribosomal RNA
Rfam family: Bacterial small subunit ribosomal RNA
Source: RNAcentral